AUGAGGCGACGGAAGAUGAAAAAUCAUCAUUUCGAUUUAGCCAACUUGGACCAUAAUAUAUCCUUUUGGUCAUUCAUAGUAUUCAUACACAUGUUUAUAACUUCCUUAAUCGGGUCAUAACAAAACUGGACAAAGCCCCGUUUACAAGUACCCGAACCCGUAUUCUUCUUGGUCCAUUUUUUUGUUAUGGAGUCGUAAUAAUUCUCUCCCCAUAGCCUUUCUAGUAACUUUGACUCGUCAACACCGUAUCUAGAUG
RNAcentral lists this long non-coding RNA (256 nucleotides) under Helianthus annuus (common sunflower). Its description in RNAcentral is "sRNA HanXRQr2_Chr05g0235041". Lineage: Eukaryota; Viridiplantae; Streptophyta; Magnoliopsida; Asterales; Asteraceae. The record is from RNAcentral.